This is an RNA transcript of Hydractinia symbiolongicarpus, 2791 nucleotides long. RefSeq lists it as uncharacterized. The transcript is spliced from 2 exons. The record is from RefSeq and is a predicted model, not a curated record. NCBI's taxonomy places the organism in Eukaryota, Metazoa, Cnidaria, Hydrozoa, Anthoathecata, Hydractiniidae.
CGUGUUGCUAUGAGCGAAUUGAAAUCUCAUUGGCUUAGAGAAAGCUCUUUUACUUCUUUGGAGAAAAAGAAAUAAGUACUUUAGCUGUUUGGUAAUUCCUAUUGGUGUUAUUGCUGGUACAGGAUGGUAGUUGUUUGUUACUGUUGUUGUUGUUGUUGUUUCCGUGCGUGGAAUGUGUCUUUCUAUGUCUAAUUUUUUUUUCAAAUUACAUCUGUGGAAAAGGCAAGUUUGAGCAAUUUUUAAAAAAAACUUCACUAUUAAUGACCUAUACUAAAUUUCCUCAAAAAAAGCAUGAACUUUUUUAUACGUACUCCUUCUAAUUCUCUGGUGAUUGGUUUAAACUUUUUUUGCUACUGGUUGUGACUAUGUAGUAAUGAAUUAAAUCGUCAGGGACAAACCGGUUUGUCAAACUAAGCUAUUCCUAAUUAGCUUUUUGUGUGUGACGGGCCUUCAAAACCAAGGGGGGGGGCUCUUCGGAGAUAGCUCGGAUAGCUUUGAAUACACUAUUUCCUUUAAGGAAAAGAGAGACCUAACCAUGGUGGGGCUCACCUUAGAUAAUAUAUUUGGCUUUCACUUUCAAAACAAAUUCUUUAGCCUUAGUGUUUGUUUUAGUAAUAAUAUUUUAGUGUUGCGUUGGAUGCAGUUUCCGGGGUCUGGGAAAUUUAAAAGCAGUGGACCACCUUGCAAGAAAAUCUUGUUUCGCUAUAAAAUAACAAAGAAUCUCUGUUGCGCUGUUGGGGUAGCAUUUUGUUUCUUUGUUGCUGAUGGCAACGCGAGACUCAUUAAAAUAAAAAGUUGCAGAAAAAAAGAAUUUAUUAAAGGAGGCGGAGAUGCCUUUUGCAAAAUUUACAUAAAAAACUUAUGUAAAGAAAAUGACCUCUCUUAUGUAAAGAGAAAGAUCUUUUACGAAAACCAUUAUUUAAAAAGGGCUUCAAAACUGCAGUGUCAUGUUACCCCCGGGGGAUUUUAAAUGAGACUGGAAACUAGUUACCAAUUUCUUUUUUUCUUUUUACUAUUUGUGACGUAAACAAGUCACGAGUUGAAAAAGAAAAAGAAGCGCUCUUCGAAAGUGUAUAUGAAACCAAGGAAAACGAAAGGAAACUUGUCUUCACUGGAUUGCUCAUCUCUUCAUAACUAUAUGAGGUUAAUUUCAAAAAUGUGUUUGCCACACAUACUGGAAGAAAAAAUCAAACGCAAAGUAGCUACUGUCAACUUAGAGAGUGUGAACACGCAAAUCAUGCAGUCGAUGAUUAUUAUGUCAUCUAGAAGACUGGUUCAGAUGGGAGAUCAAUUAGAUCGAAAUUAUAAAAAAAUUCAAGAUGGCCGAAUUUACGACAACAAAAGAAAACAAAAAAGAAAUGAGGAUGAACGUGAGAAUUUGUUCAUGGUGGUUUGCAACCAAGCAGUUUAUUUAAUACUCAGGCUGAUAUUUUAAAUAUUAAAAUGGUAGCUGCUCUACCGGAACAUGUAAUUAUAUUUGUACAGAAUUUGUGCAAAGUUGAAAACUUUUUUUAAGUAAAACAAUAUAUACGAGCAAGGAUUAGUAAAAAUUUAUCUUAGUAAGUUCAGGAACGGUUUUAAAUAUAAUAUGUUGAUCAUGAUUUUUCUUACCGCUAAUUUGAAAUUGCGAAGAUUUCAUUCUAUGUACGAAUCUUUUUUCCUACCUGAUGAUAUUCAAUUUUUGUGUAAAAAACCAAUGAUCAAUUUACUUGACUAUACUGUUGACUGAAAAUAGGAAAAAUGGACUGUUUUUUUUUGCAUAAGAUUGCGAUAUUUUCCCUCCUUUUUUCUAAAUGUUUUAAAAUGUUUUUUAUAAUUUUUUUCCAACUGGCAAGAACAUAUUUCUUCAUCGCUAUAUCUAUAGUUUGCCUUGAUAAUCCAUAUCAUUGUUUUAAUAAUUUAAAAUAAAAUCAAAGCCAUAGCAAGAAAAAUAAAAUUUGCAGAGUGUAAAAGAACGGUAGUGGAGGGGUGGAGCUCACUAAAAUCUCGAAAACUUCGUAGUCUAAAGUUAACAAAAAAAAUUGAAAAAUACUUUGAUGACUAAACAUUUAGGAAAUAUUCAUCACUCACUCCCAACCUUUUCCCCAGACCUUUUUUCUAUUCAUGGUGCAUUUUUCUACGUCUGGGGUCAAGCUUACCCUUCUCUGUUACUUGCUAUGGUCCUGGAAUUUGUUACACAUUUCAUGUGGAUAAGUAAAUAUGAAGUCUCCACGACAUUUUUUAACCAUGGAAAAUUUGCCAUAAAGUAUAGCGAACUGAAGGGUAUGUUUUUUUACCAAUAUUGAUAUAUAUAUAUAUAUAUAUGUAUAACAUAUAUAAUAUAUAUAUUUAAUAUUUGUUUGUUAUUAUAUUUUUAGGAAAUUUAUAACUGUUAAUAAUUUUAAAGAAAAUUUGAAACGAAAACUUUUUAUUUCAAUAAUGAUAAAAUAUUAAUUUUAAAAUUUUUAGAGUAACACUAACCUCGCUUUCAUGGAAUUUUUUUCCUACAAAAAAUUUAAAAACACCAUGAAAACGAGGUUAGUUGGGAGGUUAACAUCAUUUUUUAUUUUUUUUAAGGAUAGGCUAAAUAUUUUUAUUUUAAUUUUUUUAAACAAAAAUUACUUUUACUCCUAAAAGUUGAUAUAUCUUAGCGUUUGUAGCUAUUGCCUUAAACAUCUUUUGGUGGUUUCUCAGCUUAUGAACAUUUAGUUGCGUUAAAGCAGCAUAUAAGAUUUACAACUCAUGUAUAUAUAUAUACGCAAAAAUAUAAGAACGAACUUGUAUAAUUAAUUUUAAAUAAGAAUUUCCCUUA